Molecule: ribosomal RNA, 880 nt
Filed under: Methanomethylovorans sp. enrichment culture clone AM10
Lineage: Archaea; Methanobacteriati; Methanobacteriota; Methanomicrobia; Methanosarcinales; Methanosarcinaceae
Description: bacterial SSU rRNA
Rfam family: Archaeal small subunit ribosomal RNA
Source: RNAcentral
UUCCGGUUGAUCCUGCCGGAGGUCACUGCUAUCGGUGUUCGACUAAGCCAUGCGAGUCAAAUGUUCUUCGUGAACAUGGCGUACUGCUCAGUAACACGUGGAUAACCUGCCCUUAGGUCUGGCAUAACCCCGGGAAACUGGGGAUAAUUCCGGAUAGAUCAUGGAUGCUGGAAUGCACCGUGGUCGAAAGCUUUUGUGCCUAAGGAUGGGUCUGCGGUCUAUCAGGUUGUAGUGGGUGUAACGUACCUACUAGCCUACGACGGAUACGGGUUGUGGGAGCAAGAGCCCGGAGAUGGAUUCUGAGACAUGAAUCCAGGCCCUACGGGGCGCAGCAGGCGCGAAAACUUUACAAUGCGGGAAACCGCGAUAAGGGGACACCGAGUGCCAGCAUCCUAUGUUGGCUGUCCAUAUGUAUAAAUAACAUGCGUUAGCAAGGGCCGGGCAAGACCGGUGCCAGCCGCCGCGGUAACACCGGCGGCCCGAGUGGUGGCCACUAUUAUUGGGUCUAAAGGGUCCGUAGCCGGUUUGGUCAGUCUUCCGGGAAAUCUGACGGCUUAACCGUUAGGCUUUCGGGGGAUACUGCCAGGCUUGGGACCGGGAGAGGUAAGAGGUACUACGGGGGUAGGAGUGAAAUCUUGUAAUCCCUGUGGGACCACCAGUGGCGAAGGCGUCUUACCAGAACGGGUCCGACGGUGAGGGACGAAAGCUGGGGGCACGAACCGGAUUAGAUACCCGGGUAGUCCCAGCCGUAAACUAUGCUCGCUAGGUGUCAGGGACGGUGCGACCGUUUCUGGUGCCGUAGGGAAGCCGUGAAGCGAGCCACCUGGGAAGUACGGUCGCAAGGCUGAAACUUAAAGGAAUUGGCGGGGGAGCACUACAA